AUAAAAGCGGGCAUCUGUGGAAAGCAGGUUUAGUUAUCGGAGGGGAACCAUUAAACGCCAGUUUAAGAGGCAGGCCGGGAGGACGGCUCGUGGAUGUUGAGACUGCUGGCCUUGGUGAUCUUGAACGCAUUAUAACGGAAAAUGGAUCUCCACUUAAGGCACAGAUCAUUCAUGGGGAUGUAUAACCGAAACCAGUCCUCUCCACCGCCUGGGGAUCUUCACUUUCGCAGUCUACGACUGCCUGUGACUCCAGAAAGACAAACUGCAGAUUGGCCAAGAUGGGGAAAUUGAGGCAGAGAAGCCAAGACAUGUGCUAAAGGUCAUGCAGGCUAUGAAUGGAGCUGGAAUGUGAACGCAGGCCAUAUGACCCCAGAGCCCAUGUUCUUGAACCCUUAGAAAGACAGCAGCAACACACCUGGUGCAGCAGCUGCUUAGUUGGAGUGGCUGACAAGAGAUCCUGGCAAAUGGGUGUUUCUUCCCAGAAAGGGAUUUUUCUCCAUGACUGCAGUUGAAUUGCAGAGUUGUAGAGACAUCCAGGUUCUUGUUAGUGUGGACGAACUAUCCAUGAAGAUCUUAAAUGCAGGAGUCUAUGAGAACACCAAUUAAUCAAUUGUCAAAUAUUUGAGUAUCUAUUG
This 635-nucleotide long non-coding RNA is filed under the name Homo sapiens (human). RNAcentral's name for it is "HAND2 antisense RNA 1". The record is from RNAcentral. Lineage: Eukaryota; Metazoa; Chordata; Mammalia; Primates; Hominidae.